UACGUAGGGGGCAAGCGUUGUCCGGAAUUAUUGGGCGUAAAGAGCGUGUAGGUGGUUAGUUAAGUCCGCUGUGAAAUCUCGAGGCUCAACUUCGAGCUGUCGGUGGAAACUAUCUGGCUAGAGUCCGGAAGAGGAGAAUGGAAUUCCUGGUGUAGCGGUGAAAUGCGCAGAUAUCAGGAAGAACACCCGUGGCGAAGGCGGUUCUCUGGGACGGUACUGACGCUGAGACGCGAAAGCGUGGGGAGCGAACAGG
This 253-nucleotide ribosomal RNA is filed under the name uncultured bacterium. Its description in RNAcentral is "partial 16S ribosomal RNA". It matches the Rfam family "Bacterial small subunit ribosomal RNA", at positions 524 to 776 of the family's 1533-position model. The record is from RNAcentral.